RNAcentral lists this long non-coding RNA (217 nucleotides) under Elaeis guineensis (African oil palm). RNAcentral describes it as "long non-coding RNA (EGUI_LNC063742)". Lineage: Eukaryota; Viridiplantae; Streptophyta; Magnoliopsida; Arecales; Arecaceae. The record is from RNAcentral.
UCUGGAUGUCGGAUCACCAUUGCUAGAUGGUUAUAUCGAUUGAUUCAGGAAGGUGUUCCUAUGCUACUAGUUUAGCUUCGAACCUAUGAGGUCACACUCAAAAAAAGUUUCUGACUGAUAAUGUGGCUGAUCAAUAAUUGAGAAUCGUUUAAGGGCUUAAUUGUCAAUUCGAUUGAUGGUUAACCUUAUGCAAAAGUUACAAUAAAUUAAUUAACUA